Molecule: ribosomal RNA, 403 nt
Filed under: Fusobacteriota bacterium
Lineage: Bacteria; Fusobacteriati; Fusobacteriota
Description: Fusobacteria bacterium partial 16S ribosomal RNA
Rfam family: Bacterial small subunit ribosomal RNA
Source: RNAcentral
UGGGGAAUAUUGCACAAUGGGGGAAACCCUGAUGCAGCGACGCCGCGUGAGCGAAGAAGGUUUUCGAAUCGUAAAGCUCUGUCCUAUGGGAAGAUAAUGACGGUACCAUAGGAGGAAGCCCCGGCUAACUACGUGCCAGCAGCCGCGGUAAUACGUAGGGGGCAAGCGUUGUCCGGAAUCACUGGGCGUAAAGGGUUCGCAGGCGGAAAUGCAAGUCAGUUGUGAAAGGCAGAGGCUCAACCUCUGUAAGCAAUUGAAACUGUAUUUCUUGAGAUGUGGAGAGGCAAGUGGAAUUCCUAGUGUAGCGGUGAAAUGCGUAGAUAUUAGGAAGAAUACCGGUGUCGAAGGCGACUUGCUGGACACAAACUGACGCUGAGGAACGAAAGCGUUGGUAGCAAACAGG